Molecule: long non-coding RNA, 11475 nt
Filed under: Vitis vinifera (wine grape)
Lineage: Eukaryota; Viridiplantae; Streptophyta; Magnoliopsida; Vitales; Vitaceae
Description: long non-coding RNA (VVIN_LNC006531)
Source: RNAcentral
UUACUUUGGACUAAUUAUCAAGUUUGGUGAGGAAACACAUCCAUUAGCCAAGUUGCUAAAAACCAUUUUUGAUCAUGGAUUCAUUGCACAGAAAGGAAGGAGUACCUCAAAAUUAAGGCUCGAGGGACUGUUCAUUCACAUAGAAAACAAACCACAUUCAGAUAAUAGGGGUUCAGAGAACAUGGACUGCUCGCAUUCGGCCAUGUACCAUCAAAAAGCUGAGCCGCAGGAUGUUGAGGGGUCCCAUAUGUCUACUGUGUCCCGUCGCAUGUCUACGCUAAGGUAAGAGACUUCUUUUCUGUAUUUAGACUCCUAUUAUCUAAUUAAUUUUCAUGAUACAAAUCAAAAUAAUAUGUAAUAAUAAAAAUAUUAUUUUGCAAUAUACGAAAUGAUCGUAUGCAAUUCUGUAAUCCAUCUUAGUCCUAUGCUUGGAUUAGUGAGAUUCCUAAAGAGAAAUUGAAGAAGAUAUAAACUCAAGUGGUAAAUUUUAGUAUUACUUAUCAACACAAUUCCAAUUUAAAAUGUUUUUGGUGGGUUUAGGUUCGAUAUAAUUAUGUUUCAAUUCACGUUAAUUUAUAUAAUUUAUUUAUUUAGUGAAUGUUUGGUAAAUCAAUUUAAUAACUUAAAAUGACUUAAUAACUUAAUUUAAAUCAUCAAGUAAAUUAAAUUUAUUUGAUAAAAUAACUUAAUGGAAUAACUUAAAGUAAAAAUAAAUAAAUAAAUAAUAAAAAAAUAAUUAACUUAUUUUAAGUUCACAUUUUCAUUUUAUCUUCUUAUUUACAUUUACUUUAAUUACCUCUAUGAUCUCUUUUACUGUUCCACGAGCUUUAUUGUUAAUCAACUUCCUUUACUUUAAUUAUAAUUUAUGAGGAUAAAUAAGUCAUUUUGAUGAUUUAAAGUAAAUUUAAAAAAGUUAAUUUUAUCAAACAACUUUAAUACUCAAAAUAAGAAGUAAAUAAUAAGUUUUAAAUCAAUAACUUGAGUCAUUAAGUAAUAAGUGUUAAAUUUUAUCUAACACCCCUUUAAUAAAUAAAUAGUUUUUGGAUUAAUCUAUAAAAGACGGAUUUAAUUUGAAUUUAUCCAUUUAAUAAUCAUAUUGAUUAACCUAAUUAUAACUCUAAAUUAUUUAACAUAUAUUUUGCUUAUUUUAAAUUUGUUUUUGGAUAAAUAGAUUGAGUAAGUCAUAAAUAUCUCUAAUUGGAACAUUAAUUAUUUAGACUUAUAUGAGACCUAACACAACCCGAUUAUUAAAUAGAAGAACAUAAUUAUUUAAUAGGAGUUUAUUAUUAAAUAGGUUGAAGAUUAUGAUUGAGUGGAACGUUUACAAAAUGAACCUCGUAAUUUCAUAAUUAAUUUCGUUAAAAUACGCAUAUAAGAGCUGUCAAAUCCAAAAGCUUCUUACGUUCAUCCUCUCAUGGAUAAGUGUGUCGCGCAAUGACAAAGAUAGGGAGAUUCUUUAAUUCCUUCUCAUUAUUCAAUGGGUGGCGAUGUUCAACAUAACCACGUCUUCUAUCUUCGUCCCCAUCCCAUUGAGAAAAAUAAAGAGAGGCCGAUGUGGAAAGAGAAAAAAAAAAUGAUGAGCGUGCUCCCGAGUGUAAUUUAAAAACAGUUUUUUUUUUUUUUUUUUUUUUUUUUUUUUAUGUUUUUGGUGAAACAAAAUAUUAUUUUUUUUAAAAUUCAUAACUGUUUGUUUGUUAUUUUCUAUUUUUAGUCUUUAAAAGUAAAGUAAAAUAGAUGAUAAUUUUUUAAAAAUAAGUAAAAAUUACAGGUUGGUUAUUAUGUUUUUUGAAAUUUGUUUUUUAAUUUUUUUUAAUUAAAUAACAAAAAAAUAAUAUUUUAUAAAAAUAAGGGUGUUAUGCAUAUUGUUUUUAAAAACAAAUUUUAAAAAUAAAAAACAGAAAACUUGUUUUGAUAAAUUGUUUUUAAAAAUUAUUAGAUUUGUUAAUGAAUCUAACGUAUUAAGUUUUGUUUAAUUUGGAAUUUAUUUUUCAUAUAAAAAAUUGAAAAAUAAUGAUUCUAUGUAGAAGAAAAAUAAUAAAUUUAUUUUAAACUAAUUUUUAUCCAUAAUUUUUUAAUAUUAAUUAUUUUAUUAUUUGAAUUUUAAGCUAUUUUUAAAAAAUUAGUAGACUACAUUAAGUCUAGCUUAAUUUGGAGUAUAUUUGUCUAAUAAAAAAAUUUGUAAAUAUAUACAUAUAAGAAUAAACUAACCUAGUCACCUAGUUAUUUAUACUAAAUUUUGGUUUAUGACUUUGUAAGAUUAUUGGUUUCUAUAACUUUUUAGUAGUAAUUAAUUUAAUUUUUAAGUUUUUAAUUAUUUUUAAAAGUUAAUAAAUUUCAUCUAUCAAUUACAGUUUGAUUUUGAAAUUUAUUUGUUUAAUAAAAGAAUUUUAAAAAGUUAAAAGAAAUUUAUUUGAAGAUUUUUUAUACUAGUAUUAAAUCGAGGAGAGUGAAAAGGAAUGUUCAAUUUUAUUUUAUUUUUCUUUUUUUAUAGUUUUUUAAAAAAAAAAUUAUGUUUUCCUUUGUUUUUAAAAAUAGGUGAAAAUAACUUUUACUUAUUAUCUAAAAACUACUCUUUAUUUCACUUUAUUUUUAAAAAUUAUUUCUAGAAAACAACAAAUAAGUUGUGUUAGAAAUUUUUAAAAAUAGUUUUCUAUUUUUUAAAAAUAGAAAAAUGUUUUUAAAUCACAUGACUAAAAAGACUUAAUUUUUUGUUACAAUUUUUAAAAACAAAAUAAAAAGAAAAAAAAACGAAAUUAAACAUGAUAUUUUUAUUUUUCUCUAUCCACUACUCAAUAUCAAUACUGAAAAUCUUCAAAAUGAACUUCUUUUAAAUUACACUUGUUUUUUUUAUAAAAAAAAAAAAAUUCCUUUUAACUUCUCUAAAAAUUUUAUUAAGUAAAUAAAUUUCAAAUUAAAUUAUACUUAAUACAUAAAAUUUAUAAAUUCAAACUAUACCAAAAACUAAUUUAAUCAAUACAAUAAUCUCAUAACGUUGAAUAAGAUUAGAAAGUCAUAAACCAAAAUUUAUUUUAAAUUUCAAAUAUAAUGAUAUUUUGUUGUAAAAUUUUUUAUUAAACAAAUAAAUUUCAAAUAAAGCAAGAUUUAAUGUCUUAGAUUCAUCAAUAAAUCUAAUAAAUUUUCAACCAACAUUAAAAAAAAAAAUUAUAGACAAAAAUUGGUUUAAAAUGACUAUCAUUUCUUUUCUAUAUAAAACCAUUUUUUUUCUAAUUUUUUCACUUGAUGAAUAAACUCCAAAUUAAGUAAAACUUAAUGUGUUUGAUUUAUUAACAAGUUUAGUAUUUUUUUACAAAUGUAUGGAUAAAAAUAAGUGCAUAAUGAUUUUAUUAUUUCUUUUCUACCCAUAAUUAUAUUUUUAUAAAAUUUUUCACUCAAGAAAUGACUACUCCAAAUCAUGUGACAAUUUAUGUUGAAUUUAUUAAUAAGUUUAAUAAUUUUUAAAAAUAAUUUAAAACUUUAAAAAUGAUUAAAUUAAUCAUAUAUUAAAUCAAAACAUUCAAGAAUUUUUAAUAAGUUUAAUAAUUUUUAAAUAUAAUUUAAAACUUAAAAAAUGAAUAGAUUAAAUAAAAAAAUUCUAGAAUAUGUAAUUGAACACUAAAUGUAUGCAUAUAAUAAAAAGCUUGACUCAUUUAUGUAUGAAAAUUUUUAUUUUUUUUAAUUCAUUUUAAAUAAAAUAUUAUUAACAAUUAUCAUUAUUUAUUUUAACAAAAAAAUUUCAAUUAUUCUUGUAUGGAAAUGUUUGUGAAAAAUGGUUAAUUAAAUUUUGUAAAUCAUCCAAAGGGUGAUGAAUGGUGAAUUGGGUGUUAAAAACUUUUCAAAAUUAAUCAAACUAAAACAAAAUAACAAAAAUGAUUAAAAUGAUAAUAAAUAAGUCAGGAUAAGGAAAAAAAAAUGUGCAAACUCUUUUAUAGUGGUUUAGCAAUAGAACUACAUUCAACCUCUUCAAUCUACUAACUGAAUGAGAGUUUCACUAUCAAGGUUUCCGACGCAAACCUUUAAGCUUUACAAUUAUAUUCAUGAGUUCCAUUAAACAAUUACAAUCCCUUUAAGUACUCCACCUACUUAAAAACUUUUCACUCAAAAUGAGUAGAUAAUCAAAGUUUUAAUACUUCCAUCUAAGUAUAAGUUUAGCUCACAAUACAAGGGAAGUUAGAAUGGAUUUGAAAUGUGCACUAAGGAAUUUGCAAGUUGAAAAUCAAUGCACUUGUAAGAAGACCUUUGAAUAUGAGAAAAAAGAGUUUUUCAAUUGAAUGUUAUUGUUCUCUUCUUCAUAAAUAUAGCGGAGCUCUUCAAUUUAUAAGUUUUCAGCUUAGGAACCCAAAAAGCCACAAAGCAUCUCAAAUCGACCUCUGGUUUGAUCAUUUGAUUAGUCGUUAAACAUUAAAUGUUUUACAGGUAACCAUUGGAGUUUUUAAGCUCAAUCAGAUGUUUGAUUAAUCAAGGUAAAGUCUCAACUAGCUAUACACCUACCACUAGAAAAGAGAAAAGAAAAACUUAGAACCUCGAUCAACCCUUAAUCGGUCAAGCCCAAUUGGUUGAGUUGGCUCCGUAGUCAAUUCAACUAGUUCUAGGCACCCUCAACCAGUUGCACCUAAAAGUGCCUAAAAAGACUCAAUUUAAGCUUUGAAACUUCCAAUAACUUGUGUAAUCCUUUUGAAAACCUUUUGAAGUUAGUUUAGAAAGAAUUUGACUCAAAAUUUUGAAAUAAAAUAAAUAUUCAUCCAUAUUUGUGAUAAAAAAAAAAAACAUCAUUUUUAAACUUAAAUGAGGAUGAAAACUAGCUUUUUAGUGCAUAAAUAAAUAAAUAAGCAUAAGUGUACCAACAAAUAUUAUCUUACAUAUUUGCUUAAGAGACUUCAAGUCUUCAAGAAAUCUAAGCCUUUGUGAUAUUGAUUGCCUUCCAUAUUUGUUUAAGCUUUUUUUAGAUUUUUUUCAUUUUAACCUGAAAUUUUUCUUGAGUUAAACUGUUAGUUAACUUAAUCUUGUUUUAUAAUAAUUAAAACUUGAUUAGGAGAACUCUUGAACCGACAAUGUUAAUAUCCAGAUUAUACUAAAAUAUUAUGAUUUUAUUAUAAUAUCAUUAUUCAUAUUUUACUAAAAAAAUUAUUUAUUUUUAAAUUUUCUUGUAAUUACAAAAAAAAAAUUUAAUAAAAAUUGAAUUAAAUUUAAUUAAUAUUAUAUAAAUUAAAUUUAUAAUGUUUUUAUGAAAUCAAAAUAGAAAAUUAAUUUUAAAAAUAAUUUAUUCAAAUAAGCUUUUUGUUUUUUUUUUCUGAAAAUUGUUUUUAGAAAUAAUAUGCCAAACACCCUUAUUUUUCAUAAAAUAUUAAAAAAACUAAUUUUUAUUUUUUAACUUAGAAACAACUUUCAAAAACAAAUAUCACAAAACAUGGCCAAACAAGACGAACUUAUUUAAUAUAUUGUUCUCAUUUGUGUUCUAGUUUUUAUAAUUGAAAAUAGAAAAACUAACAGCAUCUUUGUUCUUAAAAAUUAAAAUUAAAAAAAAAACUAUAUUUAAGAUUCAAAAACCCCUCCGAUAAUGUGUUUUUAUAUAUAGAAAAUAAUUUUUUGAAAACUUGUCCUAAAAUAGAGUUUUUUAAUAAUAAAUUUUAAUUAUUUUCACUUAUUUUUAGGACCAUUUUAAAAAUAAUAAUAAUUGUAUAAAUAUAAAAAAUUAUUUACAAUAAAACUAUAUAUAUAUAUAUAUAUAUAUAUGAAAGUUAUUUUUAGAAAAUACUUGGAAAUAUUAAAAAUAAAUUGAGAAUAUUUUUUAUUUUAAAACAUACCUUUAUUCUUAAAAACAUUAGAGAAGUACUUUAAAAAUAGUUUUUGAUAAAUAUUUUCAAAAGCGUGCCCAAACAUAUCCUAUGGAUUAGUUUGAGACUUUUUAACUUUAAAAAUAAGUUUGUGAUUUUUUUUUUAUUGAAAGGAGUUUUUUGAGAAUUUUUUUAAAAUAGAUUUUUUUUAUAAUAAAAUUGAGAUGUUUGUAAGUGUUUUUUAUGGAAUAUUUCAAGAAACAAUUGAAUACAUGUAGAAUACUUUGACAACUUUUAUAUUGUUUGUUCAUAUUUGAGUUUUUAAAUAAAAUUUUACUCUUAAAAAUAAUUGAAAUCCAUGUUUAAGAAUGGAUAUAAAAAAAUGUUUUAAGAAAAGUCAUCAAAGAAGCUUUUAAAUUAUAUUUUAUUUUCAUUUUGGAAGGCUUGGAAGUGCUUUCAAAAGCUUGUAAGCACUUUCCUUUCAAAAAAUUAAGGUAUGAAUUGAUAACUAAUUUUUAAAACAGUUAUAAAAAAUAGUUUUUAAGAAUAAUUUUUAAAAAAUUAUUUUAUGAUGUUUUAUAAAAUAAAAACCUGUUUAAGAAUAUGAAAUGUUUUUAUCUUAUUUUUCAUAUUUUUAAAUAUGUUUAAAAAAUAAAUUUUAUAUCUAGAACUUUAUUUUUAAUUAUUAUAAAAUAUUUAUAUAAUUAUUUUUUAAAACAGUUUUCACAAAAUAAAUGAAAACAACUAAAAAAAUCUUCUUUUAAAUACCUUAUUUUUUAUUCUUGAGAACAUAAAAAAAAAAAAAAAAACAGUUUUCUGAUUGUCAAAUAUAUUUUUCAAUUUUUUUAUUUUGAAAAAUAGAAAAUUGUUCUAAAAAAAAUCUCGAACAAACCCCAAGGGUUGACCAAAAUUUUUACUUUAAAAUGAUUCUUUCACUAACACUUGAUUGGUAUUCUUUCUAAAAAUCCUUUUUUAAUAGUUUCUAAUCAUAUCACAUUUUAGUACAAAUUAAAUUUAUAUCCAAAAAUUAGUUGAUUCUCCAUUUUUUUACAAAUAAAAAAAAAUGCUAGUAAUAAAAGUGCUAUAAAGAAAUCAUUUUCACCUAAAUAAUGCUCAAAGAAUCCUAAGUAACCAUUCUUAUUAAAAUAAAUAAUUGCAUGAAUUUUUGAAACAAAAGAAGAGGAAAACUGAAUAGCUAAAAUUAAAGAGAAAAAUGCACCAAAUAUUAUGACCUAUGCAUAGAAAAGGAGAGUGAGCUUGACUGCUUAGCUACACGUCUUCAAGAGAAAUUGGUAGAAAUUAAGCUUAAGCAAGCAUGCGUAUACCCUUCAUUUUUCCUCUGCCUGUUCCCUAAUUUGUCAAAAGAGUAUUGAGUGUGGCCAUGGGGAUAUUCAGAUUAAUGACCAUUUCCCAUCAAAGGGCAACAGGCUCCGAAGAUUAAUGGAAAGUUGCUUCCCUCAAAAUCCAAACCUUUUUGGUUCCCAGCCAGGAAUUAUAUUUGGCUUAGCUUUCAGAUUUGACGCUUUACUAACAUUUGGAUUUUUCUUUUUUUCUUGCAUCAAUCUUACUCUACUUCUUCGAGGUUCCAUUUCAUUUUCUUAUUAGUUUAUCAUGAGUUUAAGCGACUUGAGUGCAUCCUAGAAAUAUUUUAAUAAAAGUUUUAAAUCUAUUUUUAUAAAAAAAAUUCUCUUUUUUUCAUAUUAUUUCAAUUAAUAAAUAUUUUAUCUAAAAAACAUUUUUAAAAUAAAUUAUUUUCACCAACUUACUAAAUUUGUUUACACCUUUUUGGUAAUAAACUUUACCAACAAAUCAUUUCUAAUAAAAAAUUUCAAAAUAUUCCACUUUAUGAGAUUUUGAAACUUUGAGAGCAUCUUGUCAAAGUAGAAAAUUUUAAUUCUUCAAGGAUUCUCAAAAAAAGUAUUAUAAAUCCUUGAAAAUAAAUUUAGAAAAGAAUUUUACCUCUUAUAUUCCAAAUUCCUCAUGACAUUUACUUUUUGUAUUUUCAUGAUAAUUUAUUUCAUUAAAAAUUACCAAAAACGUAAUCUUUGGUAAUUUCUUUAUUGAUAAAUUAUCUAUCUUGAAAGUUUUUAAAAAUGAUUGAUUCUCUAAAUUAGGAAUCGGUGUAAUAAAGAAAUUUUUUUCCUAAUUUACAUUAUUCCAAAAUUUAAUAAAUAAUUUUUUUUUUCGAAUCCAAUUUUCAAGAAAAUCUAUUUCCAUUAAGAAUUACUAAAAACUUCUAGAACUAUUUUGAUAAUCAUUUUUAAAAUAAAUUAUUGAGGAGAGUUUUCAAAUUCUUUAUUCAUUUCUAUAUCAGAAUACCUGAUUUAAAAAUGUAUUGUUUUCUUAUUCCUUUUCAAACUGUCCUUAUCCAAUAUCCUCCUUCUCUCAUGCAAAAGUCCAAAGGACCACCUAAGUAUCAUUAUCCUUUUCUUAAAGGAGAAAAGUUGAAGAACCACUAUCUAAAACAUAAGGAUUGUUCAAAAGGAAUGUUUAGCAAACUUAACUACUAACUUUCAAUUUUCAAUGAAUAAUUUCUCAUAAAAAAUUAUUUUUCAUUAAGAAUAUCAAAAUAGUUUACUUUAUGCUAAACAAAUGCAAUUAAUAGAAAUAGCACAAAAUAAAAAUGAGGAAAUAAAUAAAUAUUUCUCUAUGGUCUUUAGAUAUUCUAUCACAAAUUUUGUUAAUCAUAAUUUGGAAUCACAAAAAUUCACAUUUUAUCAAAAUACCUUUACAACAAAAAAUAAGAUUAUGAAACAAAAAAAAAAAAAAACCCUAAAACGCCCUAAAGCUGUCAAUCUGCUACUACUAGGAACACUUAAGCACCAAAAGUGCAUGAAGGCCACUAGAACCACCUUGGAGUGCUUGAGCAUCCCACUCGAGUAUUAGAUAAGUAUUUGAGCGCUACAGAUUCCUUAAGCACUAAUGGAAGCACUUAAGAGUUGUCGUAUACAAUUGUGCAACUAAGGGCUUUCCUCCAUCUUUUUCGACUACUUUCCAUAAAAAAUCUCACCUUUGCUGACUGGUUUCUUCACUAAGGAUGCUACUAGGAUAUUGGAAUGCAAUCUUUCUCUUCUUGGAUUACUAUAGAUGGAUAAAAAAACCUAUGCUCCUCAAAAACAAAGCUUACAACCCAUGAACAAAAUUUGGUUUUUCAUUCAAAUAUAAAAUCCUAUACUCCUAACCGUAAGGCUAUGUUUGGUCUCAGAAAAUUUGAAAGAAAAUGCAAGGAAAAGAAAAUACAAAUGAAAAGUAGAAGAAAAAUAAAAAAAUAAAUUAAAAGUUGAUAAAUUAUUUUUUUUGUUACUUCAAACUCAUUUUAUUUAUUUUAACUUAUCUAUAUAAAGAUUAAAUAAUUUAAAAAUAUAUAAGUUUUUAAUUAGUUUUAAUUAUAUUUGAUUUUCUCUGAUAUUUUUCAUAGGACAACCAAACAUGAAAAAAUCAUUUUAUUCUGUAUUUUUUUUUUCCUUAGUAUUUUCCGGGAACCAAACAUAACUUAAAGCUUUUAACCUAAUAUAAGAGAAAGAAAAUGCAGACAUCACAUCUAUCCAUAUUUAUAUAAAUUAGCAUCCAUGCAUACAUCCUUCCGGAAAAACUCUACAAUCUUGAAUGGAUAUAACAUGUUUUUCCCUAAUUACGUAAGGCUUUGAUAUUGGUUAUUGGAAUCUUUGGAUUGUCGUAUUCGAAACCUUGGACCAUUAGGGUAUUAUGCAAAAGCUAUCCUAAUGCUCUUUAGAUCUAGGCACAAUGAAAAAUAUGACAAUAAAAAAAUAAAUAAUAAAUAAAUAAACCCAUCAAUAACCAUAGAUCUAAAGAUAAAACUUGUUAUAUGUAUACUUCCAAAUCUAUUCCAGUUGAUGAAGAGAUUCAAGUACACCUUAUGAUACUUGUGUGAAUGAUACACCCAUGCAAGUUGCCUCCUUACAUGAUAUCUCAUAAGCACGCCUUUCUUCCUUGUCACCAUACCUCCCACGUAAGCAUGAAAAUUUGGCAGCCAAAAUUUUGGAUAUCCCUAGCAAUUGAUAAGAUAUUUCAAUGGAAAAAUCAACUGUGCUAAUUUUUGUUGAUUUUCCUUAUAUUUUAAUAUUUUUCAUCUUUUUUAAGUUUUUUAUCGAUAUUUGAAGAUUUUCUUCAAUUUUUCAACCCCCAUCCUCGUCCUCUAACACAAAAAAAAGGUGUUAAUUACUCGACUAAUUCACCUUUAUCAAUUAGGUUAUUUGAUUAAAAGGGUCUUUCCAAUUUUUGAAAUUUAAUCUUUCAUUUUUUUUAGUCCCAUUUUCACAAUAAUACCCUCACUUUUUUCUUGUAGAAAUAACAUUUUCUUUUAAAACCUACGAGUAAAUACUUAAAAUGAUAAAGAGCAUUUAUGUCCAAAUUGGGUUAUUUUUCUAAAAAAAAAAUUGGGAUGGUUAAAUUCAAAAAUUUAGAGAUUAUUUUAUCCCUUUUAACCUAUUAAUUCUUAUCAAUUUACAUGAUAAUAUUAUAGAUAUAGUAAAGUCAUUUUCUCUUAUUUUAAUAAAAAAGAAAAUUCUAGAAGUGAAUAUAGUUUUAAUAUAUUCCUACAAAAUAAAAAUAAAUAUUGAAAGAAAAUGUUAAUAGUAAAUUAAUUUUAAUUAUCUUAUAUUGGAAUCCCAAUUAUUAAAAAUUUAAAACCAUUAUCAUAAAUUUUUUAAUGAGUGUUUCUUUAUUCAUUUUUAUAUAUUAAUUAAAUAUAAGAUAAAUAUAAACUUGAAAAUAAAAUUAUAAACAUUUAAAAAAAAUCAUGCAUAUACCUUUUCUUUUGUACUUUCAAAUACAUUAGAUAUCUCUCGAAACAACGUUUUGCAAGGAUAUCUUACCAUGAUGUUUAUAUGCAACAAUCUCUAGGUUAACUCUCAAUUUCUAAGCCAUGUGUGCAAAUUAAAGAAAAUAAUUUAUAGUCGGCGACUAGUGUCAAGAGCUUGGUAUAAUGAACUUUAGGACUUUCUAGUGUCUCAUUGCUUCAUUAAUACUAAGUUUGAUCCAUCAUUAUUUAUUUACAUACAUGGAAAAAUCCGUUCCUUUUCUUCUUGUCUAUAUCGAUUACAUUCUCAUUAUAAGUCAUUCUAGUACAUGAACCAACAUUUUAUGGGUUAUUGGAUAGUUAUAAGAUAUGUUCUUCUCUACCGCAAAGUUACCUUGGAUCACUAACUUCUCAUUUGAAGUGCCUAUUCGAUCAAUGCUAACUAAGCCAAACGAUUUAAAUAAUUGCACUUCUACAUCUACCCAUAUUGUUUUCUUUGGUGCUACUUUCAUUAGUUAGAGGUCUAAGAAGCAAAAAAAAUAAUCGCUCAAUCCUCCUUUGAAACUAAGUACUAACACUAAUUAAGCUUAAUUGGAUUCAAGAGUUGUCUCAUGAGCUUCAUUUUCUUGCUCCCAACCUUUGUGGAUAUCAUCCACACUUGGGCAUUGGCUUCGAUAUAUAUUGUAACAACUCAUGUGGCCUUGUAAUUCUCACUUGUCACAAUCAUGACUCAUAGAAAACUUGUUUGAUCCGUGUGUGAUACAUUCUCUUUCAUGAUAGACAAUUCAUGAAUUUUGAUACCACUGAUAACGGCUUAGGCGGUUCAUGUAUAUGAUAUACUUCCCAUAGUAGGACUUCUUUUAAAUAUUAUUUAAAAUUGGGAUUUUUUUUUUUAUAGAUAUGAUCCGCAGUUUGGAGUCAUCUCUGAAAGGUGAUUGAAGCCUA